RNAcentral lists this transfer RNA (71 nucleotides) under chicken gut metagenome. It matches the Rfam family "tRNA". From Rfam's summary of the family: Transfer RNA (tRNA) molecules are approximately 80 nucleotides in length. Their secondary structure includes four short double-helical elements and three loops (D, anti-codon, and T loops). The record is from RNAcentral.
GGGGUAUAGCUCAGAUGGGAGAGCGAUUGGUUCGCAAUCAAUAGGUCAGGGGUUCGAUUCCCCUUACCUCC